UACGUAGGCAGCGAGCGUUGUUCGGAGUUACUGGGCGUAAAGGGUGUGUAGGCGGUUCUUUAAGUUUGGUGUGAAAUCUCCCGGCUCAACCGGGAGGGUGCGCCGAAUACUGAGGGACUAGAGUACGGGAGAGGAAAGUGGAAUUCCUGGUGUAGCGGUGAAAUGCGUAGAUAUCUGGAGGAACACCGGUGGCGAAGGCGGCAUCCUGGACCGAGAUUGACGCUGAGGCGCGAAAGCUAGGGUAGCAAACGGG
Molecule: ribosomal RNA, 253 nt
Filed under: uncultured bacterium
Lineage: Bacteria
Description: partial 16S ribosomal RNA
Rfam family: Bacterial small subunit ribosomal RNA
Source: RNAcentral